GUGCCAGCAGCCGCGGUAAUACGUAGGUGGCAAGCGUUAUCCGGGAUUAUUGGGCGUAAAGCGCGCGUAGGCGGUUUUUUAAGUCUGAUGUGAAAGCCCACGGCUCAACCGUGGAGGGUCAUUGGAAACUGGAAAACUUGAGUGCAGAAGAGGAAAGUGGAAUUCCAUGUGUAGCGGUGAAAUGCGCAGAGAUAUGGAGGAACACCAGUGGCGAAGGCGACUUUCUGGUCUGUAACUGGCGCUGAUGUGCGAAAGCGUGGGGAUCAAACAGGAUUAGAU
Molecule: ribosomal RNA, 279 nt
Filed under: uncultured Staphylococcus sp.
Lineage: Bacteria; Bacillati; Bacillota; Bacilli; Caryophanales; Staphylococcaceae
Description: partial 16S ribosomal RNA
Rfam family: Bacterial small subunit ribosomal RNA
Source: RNAcentral